Equus caballus (horse) is the source of this 1627-nucleotide non-coding RNA. The record is from RefSeq and is a predicted model, not a curated record. NCBI's taxonomy places the organism in Eukaryota, Metazoa, Chordata, Mammalia, Perissodactyla, Equidae.
CCUAGGAUUCGAACUGGCGAAACCCUGGGCCGCCGAAGCAGAGUGUGUGAACUUAACCACUCCGCCACCGGGCCAGCCCCUGGCCCCCCAUUUUGAUGUGCAGGAAGCUGGGGUCCCCAGGUGCUGGCUGCCUUGACAAUAUCUCACCAUCUAGAAUGGACGUCACCCCCGCCCCCCAGUUGCACUUCAGGUCAGUGCCAUGUCUCCAAAGUUGGGGUAAACAUUCCUGAGUGCCAUUUAAAAAAUAACAGUAACUGAUAUCUUCUUAUUUACAAAAUUAAAUGUCUCCAAAGAACACCUAGGAAUGAGAAAGAGAUCACAGAAGGCUGGAGAGGAGGGGGGAGGUACUGGCAGAGGGGCGGCUGUCAAGAGCGAGCCAAGCUUCCUCCAGGGACCCCAGGUUUGGGAUAAAGUUCCAAAAGGUAACAGUUUCCUACUGAAUGGAGAGUUUCCUGCUCCCAGAGAUCUGUGGGUCUCCAGGGGUGGCAAAUGCUUCCCGAGGGGGCAGAGUGUCACCCUAGUGGAAGAACAGACGUGUUCUUAGGGGAAGAGUGACAAACAGCAAACAAACAUUGCUCCUCUCUGAGGUUCCGGGAGCUUCUUCCAUUGAUCGAUUUUAGAGAGAAGAUGCACACAAAGUUACGUGUCAGAACAUUUCCCUUCUCCCUCCCACCUCCCACCACUGAAAAUCAAAAUUUGUACCUAGAAUAGUUUGUGUAAAAAGUGAGAAUGGGGAGGAGGCCUUCACUUACAUCUCCUUUUAAUUACCUAUCAAAAAAAAAAAAAAAAAAAAGAGAGAGAGAGAGAGAGACAAGUUAAAUGGGAAGCCACAAUCCACUGUUCUGCUCUGUUGUACAAAGUACAAUUUGAUCUGAUAUUUCUGGUAUUUAAAUGUGCAGAUCUUUUGAUCCACAGUGGCACUUCUGGAAAAUUAUCUCAAGGAAAAAAUCACUUAGACUUGCAAAAAUGCGUGCACGAGGGUGUCCAGGGAACGCUGUGGAUCCCAGCCCCCAGCUCCCAGGCCCCACAAGCUCCUUACGUGAAGAUGGACCUUCUCGUCGCUCCCACCGGCAUUCACUUCCAUCUUGCUUGCUGCCGUAUCCCUGGACCUAGAAGACUGCACAGCCACGGUCUAGUAAACUGAGGACUGGAGAAAUCACCCUGGACCUGAGCAAGAGGGCAGCCAGGAAGAUGCUAUGCCAACAACGCCUGCCAACAUUUCAGGAAAAAUAAUUGAAAUAAUAAAUAAUUCUGAUUAGGCCGAUAAACCUGGAGGCUGAGGGCAGGACGGAUGCUGAUCUUCCUGACUGAAUCCCGCCAGUUACCUAGAACACGCUGUGUAGAACGUUCUCUUGGAUGUUUGCUGAUCAGCUAUGAUGCCAGGCAGUGAAAGGGCAUCGGGACAACAGUGUCUGUCCCGUGCUCUGUGAAACGGACACAGCACGACUUCACAGGGACACUUUGCAGAGCAGACUUCAGGAAACAAACAGAGCUUAAAAAUAAGCAUUUCCUAAAUAUGGAAAUGAGAAAACGGUGACAUCACUAGAGAAGACCCAAAGACUUUUUUUUUUCCACCUUAAAUGUUGCCUACCUCUUUUGGGCCAAUAAAUAAAUCUAAGCUUCAGAA